RNAcentral lists this ribosomal RNA (425 nucleotides) under uncultured prokaryote. Its description in RNAcentral is "bacterial SSU rRNA". It matches the Rfam family "Bacterial small subunit ribosomal RNA", at positions 355 to 774 of the family's 1533-position model. The record is from RNAcentral.
UGGGGAAUCAUGGUCCAUGGGCGAAAGCCUGAACCUGCGACGCCGCGUGAGUGAUGAAGGUCGUAAGAUCGUAGAACUCUUUUCAGGGAUCUUAAAGCCUGUCUGUCAACAACAGGCAGGUCUGACUCUCCCUGGAAGAAGCCCCAGCCAACUACGUGCCAGCAGCCGCGGUAAUACGUAGGGGGCAAGCGUUGUCCGGAAGGAUUGGGCGUAAAGGGGGCGUAGGCGGCCUGGUAAGUCUGGAGUGAAAGUCCUGCUUUUAAGGUGGGAAUUGCUUUGGAUACUGCCUUACUCGAGUGCGUGAGAGGAAAGCGGAAUUCCAGGUGUAGCGGUGAAAUGCGUAGAUAUCUGGAGGAACACCGGUGGCGAAAGCGGCUUUCUGGCACGAUACUGACGCUGAGGCUCGAAAGCGUGGGGAGCAAACA